CAAAAGUUGUGAUUCUCCAAGAUGUAAAAGGAAGACACUGCUUCCUUUUGGAAGCAAACUGAUGCAGGAAGCUGAGAUAGAAGAAAUGGUGUAGAUGAUACUUCUCUGUGGGACAGACAUGAGGCACGAAGCAAUGUUCAGCAGAUGUACUGUGCAUCCUUCAUGGUCUGCUUAGGACGGCUUCCUCAGAGAAGUGACACCAGUGCUACUUCCAGUUCUAUCCCUGUUUUCAUGCCUUUGUCCCAGCCUUAUGAAACUCCAGGCUGAUGUGCAGACGGGCAGGAAAAAAUUGCCUUCCAGAUGAAAUAUAUGGCAAGAAGAGCUAUAUUUCCAAACAAUUUCAGGGAAAUAAUUUUGUAAGUUAUUUGUCACUCUGCUGCACAAAAUGAUCAGACACACUGUCCAAUCAACAGCAAACCAGAAACUAACAGGCAUGAGAUGUGCUCCAACAUGUGCUGGCAGGAGCAGUCAGAGAAGACUGGCUACAGAAGCUCAUCAAGAAAUGCAAAAGACAUGACCUGCUAUGUAAGGUAUCAGUGAGACCUUCCUUUCUGAAGAGGUUUUUUUCCUUUAAUGCUCAUUAUUUCUGAGAGCC
RNAcentral lists this long non-coding RNA (595 nucleotides) under Chloebia gouldiae (Gouldian finch). RNAcentral's name for it is "Erythrura gouldiae (Gouldian finch) lncRNA (ENSEGOG00005004891.1)". Lineage: Eukaryota; Metazoa; Chordata; Aves; Passeriformes; Passeridae. The record is from RNAcentral.